Molecule: transfer RNA, 147 nt
Filed under: Cercospora zeae-maydis SCOH1-5
Lineage: Eukaryota; Fungi; Ascomycota; Dothideomycetes; Mycosphaerellales; Mycosphaerellaceae
Description: tRNA-Met
Source: RNAcentral
GGGCUUGUAGCACAGUGGUAGCGUACGUUUCAUCCAAUUCGCUUCGCAUUUCCGUCCACAUACUAAUAUUAUCUAGGCGCACGCUUUGCAUGACCGCUGGGUCGACAGUUCUGCGUGAGGUCUAGGGUUCGAUCCCCUACUGGUCCA